RNAcentral lists this ribosomal RNA (253 nucleotides) under uncultured bacterium. Its description in RNAcentral is "partial 16S ribosomal RNA". It matches the Rfam family "Bacterial small subunit ribosomal RNA", at positions 524 to 776 of the family's 1533-position model. The record is from RNAcentral.
GACGAACCGUGCGAACGUUGUUCGGAAUCACUGGGCUUAAAGGGCGCGUAGGCGGCCGGGUUGGUCGUGGGUGAAAUCCCCCAGCUUAACUGGGGAACUGCCUACGAUACUGCCUGGCCCGAGGGAGGAAGGGGCGGUCGGAACUGUCGGUGGAGCGGUGAAAUGCGUUGAUAUCGACAGGAACGCCGGUGGCGAAAGCGGACCGCUGGCCCUCUUCUGACGCUGAGGCGCGAAAGCCAGGGGAGCGAACGGG